UCUGUCCUACGGGAGGCAGCAGUGGGGGAUAUUGCACAAUGGGGGGAACCCUGAUGCAGCGACGCCGCGUGGGUGAAGGAGCGUUUCGGCGCGUAAAGCCCUAUCGGCAGGGAAGAAGAUGACGGUACCUGACCAAGAAGCCCCGGCUAACUACGUGCCAGCAGCCGCGGUAAUACGUAGGGGGCAAGCGUUAUCCGGAUUUACUGGGUGUAAAGGGAGCGUAGACGGCUGUGCAAGUCUGAAGUGAAAUGCCGGGGCGCAACCCCGGAACUGCUUUUGUAA
This 282-nucleotide ribosomal RNA is filed under the name uncultured bacterium. RNAcentral's name for it is "partial 16S ribosomal RNA". It matches the Rfam family "Bacterial small subunit ribosomal RNA", at positions 333 to 632 of the family's 1533-position model. The record is from RNAcentral.